RNAcentral lists this ribosomal RNA (428 nucleotides) under uncultured prokaryote. RNAcentral's name for it is "bacterial SSU rRNA". It matches the Rfam family "Bacterial small subunit ribosomal RNA", at positions 355 to 774 of the family's 1533-position model. The record is from RNAcentral.
UGAGGAAUUUUGCGCAAUGGGAGCAAUCCUGACGCAGCAACGCCGCGUGGGUGAUGAAGGCCUUCGGGUCGUAAAGCCCUGUCAGGUGGGAAGAAUGUCCCGGGACUGAACAGGUUCCGGGAGUGACGGUACCACCAGAGGAAGCACCGGCUAACUCCGUGCCAGCAGCCGCGGUAAUACGGAGGGUGCAAGCGUUAUUCGGAAUUACUGGGCGUAAAGCGCGUGUAGGCGGUCCUGCAAGUCGGAUGUGAAAGCCCCGGGCUUAACCCGGGAAGUGCAUUGGAUACGGUGGGACUUGAGGACUGGAGAGGAUGGGGGAAUUCCCGGUGUAGAGGUGAAAUUCGUAGAGAUCGGGAGGAAUAUCAGUGGCGAAGGCGCCCAUCUGGACGGUAACUGACGCUGAGACGCGAAAGCGUGGGGAGCAAACA